Flavobacterium fluvii is the source of this 69-nucleotide regulatory RNA element. It matches the Rfam family "DUF805 RNA". NCBI's taxonomy places the organism in Bacteria, Pseudomonadati, Bacteroidota, Flavobacteriia, Flavobacteriales, Flavobacteriaceae. The record is from Rfam.
AUAAAGUGGAAUCCAGCGACCACUUAAAAAAACGGGGCACAACCGAAAAGCCAUAAGAGUAGGAAAUCA